This 486-nucleotide ribosomal RNA is filed under the name uncultured bacterium. RNAcentral's name for it is "partial 16S ribosomal RNA". It matches the Rfam family "Bacterial small subunit ribosomal RNA", at positions 30 to 507 of the family's 1533-position model. The record is from RNAcentral.
AUUGAACGCUGGCGGCAUGCCUUACACAUGCAAGUCGAACGGCAGCGCGGACUUCGGUCUGGCGGCGAGUGGCGAACGGGUGAGUAAUACAUCGGAACGUACCCUGUUGUGGGGGAUAACUAGUCGAAAGAUUAGCUAAUACCGCAUACGACCUGAGGGUGAAAGUGGGGGACCGGAAACGGCCUCAUGCAGCAGGAGCGGCCGAUGUCUGAUUAGCUAGUUGGUGGGGUAAAGGCCCACCAAGGCGACGAUCAGUAGCUGGUCUGAGAGGACGAUCAGCCACACUGGGACUGAGGCACGGCCCAGACUCCUACGGGAGGCAGCAGUGGGGAAUUUUGGACAAUGGGGGCAACCCUGAUCCAGCAAUGCCGCGUGUGUGAAGAAGGCCUUCGGGUUGUAAAGCACUUUUGUCCGGAAAGAAAUCGCGCUGGUUAAUACCUGGCGUGGAUGACGGUACCGGAAGAAUAAGCACCGGCUAACUACGUG